Lemur catta (Ring-tailed lemur) is the source of this 105-nucleotide small nucleolar RNA. RefSeq annotates it as small nucleolar RNA U13. Lineage: Eukaryota; Metazoa; Chordata; Mammalia; Primates; Lemuridae. The transcript has a single exon. The record is from RefSeq and is a predicted model, not a curated record.
AUCCUUUUGUGGUUUGUAAGUGUGAUGCCUGGGUUUUCACAAGCAUGUGAGAGAUGUGCCUCCCUCAAACCUUGUGACAACAGCAUAACAUUUACCCAUCUGAUG